CCUACGGGAGGCAGCAGUGGGGAAUAUUGCACACUGGGGGAAACCCUGAUGCAGCGACGCCACGUGGGUGACGAAGUAUUUCGGUAUGUAAAGCCCUAUCAGCAGGGAAGAAGAUGACAGUACCUGACCAAGAAGCCCCGGCUAACUACGUUCCAGCAGCCGCGGUAAUACGUAGGGGGCAAGCGUUAUCCGGAUUUACUUGCUGUAAAGGGAGCGUAGGUGGCAUGGCAAGCCAGAAGUGAAAACCCGGGGCUUAACCCCGCGGAUUGCUUGUGGGACUGUCAGGCGGGAGUGCAGGAGGGGCAGGCGGAAUUCCUGGUGUAGCGGUGAAAUGCGUAGAUAUCAGGAGGAACACCGGUGGCGAAGGCGGCCUGCUGGACUGUAACUGACACUGAGGCUCGAAAGCGUGGGGAGUAAACAGGAUUAGAUACCCUAGUAGUC
Molecule: ribosomal RNA, 441 nt
Filed under: uncultured bacterium
Lineage: Bacteria
Description: partial 16S ribosomal RNA
Rfam family: Bacterial small subunit ribosomal RNA
Source: RNAcentral